Molecule: ribosomal RNA, 583 nt
Filed under: uncultured bacterium
Lineage: Bacteria
Description: partial 16S ribosomal RNA
Rfam family: Bacterial small subunit ribosomal RNA
Source: RNAcentral
UGAGGAAUAUUGGACAAUGGGUGGAAGCCUGAUCCAGCCAUCCCGCGUGAAGGAAUAAGGGCCUAUGGCUUGUAAACUUCUUUUGUACAGGGAUAAACCUACCCUCGUGAGGGUAGCUGAAGGUACUGUACGAAUAAGCACCGGCUAACUCCGUGCCAGCAGCCGCGGUAAUACGGAGGGUGCAAGCGUUAUCCGGAUUUAUUGGGUUUAAAGGGUCCGUAGGCGGGCUUAUAAGUCAGUGGUGAAAGCCGGCAGCUUAACUGUCGAACUGCCAUUGAUACUGUAAGCCUUGAGUAUAUUUGAGGUAGCUGGAAUAAGUAGUGUAGCGGUGAGGCAUAGAUAUUACUUAGAACACCAAUUGCGAAGGCAGGUUACCAAGUUAUAACUGACGCUGAUGGACGAAAAGCGUGGGGAGCGAACAGGAUUAGAUACCCUGGUAGUCCACGCUGUAAACGAUGCUAACUCGUUUUUGGGGCAUUAAGCUUCAGAGACCAGGCGAAAAGUGAUAAGUUAGCCACCUGGGGGAGUACGUUCGCAAGAAUGAAACUCAAAAGGAAUUGACGGGGGUCAUAGCUGUUUCCCU